CCUUCGGAGACCUUGCAUGAGAAUCGGCUACCACAUCCAAGGAAGGCACCAUGCGCGCAAAUUACCCAAUCCCGACACGGGGAGGUAGUGACAAUAUGUAACAAUAUACGGCUUUAUUGUCGUAUAAUUGGAAUGAGUACAAUUUAAAUCCCUUAACGAGGAACAAUUGCAGGGCAAGUCUGGUGCCAGCAGCCGCGGUAAUUCCAGCUCCAAUAGCGUAUAUUAAAGUUGUUGCACUUAACAAGCUCGUAGUUGGACCUUGGGCCUGGACAGGCUGCCCGCCUCACGGCGUGUACUGUCUUGCUGGGGCUUU
This 313-nucleotide ribosomal RNA is filed under the name uncultured organism. RNAcentral describes it as "SSU rRNA". It matches the Rfam family "Eukaryotic small subunit ribosomal RNA", at positions 380 to 694 of the family's 1831-position model. The record is from RNAcentral.